This 100-nucleotide small nuclear RNA is filed under the name Curvularia kusanoi. Lineage: Eukaryota; Fungi; Ascomycota; Dothideomycetes; Pleosporales; Pleosporaceae. RNAcentral also lists the same sequence under 6 other names. The record is from RNAcentral.
GUCUUCGGACAUUUGGUCAAUUUGAAACGAUACAGAGAAGAUUAGCAUGGCCCCUGCACUAAGGAUGACACGCUCAAUCAAAGAGAAGCUACCAUUUUUU